UACGAAGGGGGCUAGCGUUGCUCGGAAUCACUGGGCGUAAAGCGCACGUAGGCGGCUUCUUAAGUCAGUGGUGAAAUCCUGGAGCUCAACUCCAGAACUGCCUUUGAUACUGAAGAUCUCGAGUCCGGGAGAGGUGAGUGGAACUGCGAGUGUAGAGGUGAAAUUCGUAGAUAUUCGCAAGAACACCAGUGGCGAAGGCGGCUCACUGGCCCGGUACUGACGCUGAGGCACGAAAGCGUGGGGAGCAAACAGG
Molecule: ribosomal RNA, 253 nt
Filed under: uncultured bacterium
Lineage: Bacteria
Description: partial 16S ribosomal RNA
Rfam family: Bacterial small subunit ribosomal RNA
Source: RNAcentral